Molecule: non-coding RNA, 1128 nt
Organism: Aegilops tauschii subsp. strangulata
Lineage: Eukaryota; Viridiplantae; Streptophyta; Magnoliopsida; Poales; Poaceae
Source: RefSeq, a predicted model, not a curated record
CAAUACUGCAUGCUUGUUAUCAUUUAAUAUAUCACUGGUUUCUCAAAUAUAGCUCUGCAUAUCUUCUUUUCUGGUUCUGUAAUCAUGGGUCACCCCUUCCAAUAUUUGUAUGUUGUGUAUCAACAUGUAAUCGGAAGUUGAAGCUAUUGAGUAAGCAGUAACAGUGAAGAUUGGUUACCCAGUUAAUUUUCUCAAGAUCGAGCAGUAAAUAAGAAUCUUGAAAAAGUCACUAGCAGGUUCUAUACAUAACCUAUCUUUUGUCUUGUGUCGGGACACAUGGCGCAUAAGGUUUUUUACUUGUGCUUUCACCCUUCCAAAGUUUAAAAUGAAUAAUUGUAUGGCGUGUUUUCUCCUAUAUAUUACAAUAACAUUUGAUGUCUAGUAUGCUCAAGAUCAUCUAGUCUGUUUUGAGCCAGUAGCUGCUAUAUUUGUUCAGUCUUAAACUCCUAAUGUUACUUUCCAUUCUAUUUCCUUAUGAUUUUUUUAUGGUCUGACUAUCGAGUACGUAACAGUUUUGCUCUCUAAUUUGUUUGUCCAUACCCUUUGAUUUAAUCUCUUUCAUUAUUUUUGGAUUUAGGAAGAAUUGAAAAAACUUCACAGGUUAUCACUCAAUGUCAAGAAAUUGAAUAUUAUUCGUCCCAAUUAAGUGGUGCUAUUCCCUUUAAUAUUUUGUUGUUGUAUGCACAUCAACCUAUAAAUUAAAUAUUGGUCAACAUGUAUUUGAGGUCUGGGUUUUCUAGUUUGCAAUUCAUCUUGAGUAGGAGCAAAAUUCAAGAUCUGGGAUCUACGAGAGAUGCAAGAGCCUUUGUUCUAAUCAAGGGACAAUUGAUCUGUUGCAUGGAAGGAAGAUGAUCAGCACAACAAGGAGGCUGCAGCAAGAAGUUAAGGGUAACCUUGAAGAGAAGCUUGCAACUUAAGCUGUAACAAAACAUUAUGAAAAGAGGUCUCACGCUGUGAAUGUUUAGUUGAUGCACUAGUGUUUUUAGAUGUUGCGCCUCUGUUUUCAUUGUCCUUUGAUUCAUGUAUGCAACUUCGAUGGAAUUGUAUCCGAAUUAUGUGAAUUUGUAACUCCAUGGUUGAUGGAAGCUAUUGAUAGUGAUGUUUCUCUAUUCUAAACAUUCAGAGUAA